Long non-coding RNA from Alexandromys fortis (reed vole), 3772 nucleotides. RefSeq lists it as uncharacterized. The record is from RefSeq and is a predicted model, not a curated record. NCBI's taxonomy places the organism in Eukaryota, Metazoa, Chordata, Mammalia, Rodentia, Cricetidae. The transcript is spliced from 3 exons.
GUGGAGACAGCCAACCGGGCUGAGGAGGUUCCAGGCGAAGGGCCCGAGGAAGCCCGCGGGACGGGCGCCUCGGCCGCCUCAUCUGGGCCUACCGGCCCUGCAGUGCAUGCUGGGGGUUGUAGUUGAGUGAGGUUGCACUGUGCAGGGGCGUGGGAGGCCAGUCCUGUUGCGCAGUGACUGGAAAGCACUGGAGCCUCUACAUCAUCCUCGCUAUCACUGCAAUUCGUUCUGCCACUACUUCGGCUAAAUGUUCACUCUUAACCCUAGAUAGAUAGCCCCAAGCCUUCUAUUUCUCUGUCAUGGAAACAAACAAGAAGAAUCUGCUAUGACCAAGAGCUGUGGAAACAGUGACCUUUGGAAGGUGGCAUAAUAGUGUGAUCAGUGCCUCCCUGACACCUGGACAGCUCCAUCUACUUCAAAUGAGGCCACAAAGUCUAUCCUUCAAGGCCUAGGACAGUAUGCAGGAACUAAGGUCCAGCUAUUCGCAUUGGCUGCAGAAGGCAUCAUUACAUGAGUAAAGAAGGUUGGGGAACUGCUUUGGAGAAAUCCUUUUAUACACUGUGAAGAUGUGUUGCUGUGGUUGGUUUAAUAACGAAGCUGACUGGCCAAUAGCCGAACAGGAUAAAGUUAGGCAGGAGAGCCAAAUUGAGAAUGCUGGGAAGGAGAAGGGCAGAGUCAGGAGUCGCCAGCCAGACACAGAGGGAGCAGGAGAUGAAUGUGCUAUGCUAAUAAUGGUACUGCCAUGUGGCAGAGCAUAAUUAAGGAAUACGGAUUAGCAACAUGUAAGCGUUAGUGAUAAGCCUGAGCUAUUGGUCAAGCAUUUACAAUUAAUAUGUCUCUAUGUGGUAAUUCGGAAGUGGCUCAAGGGAUGGGAAAACUCUGCUUACAGGGAACUAGAACUAGCUCAGUGGUUGAGCACUGCCUGGCAUGCUUGAAGCCCUGUCACAAGGGGACCUGGGGAGGGAGGAGAAGAACAAAAAACAUAAAAGAGAGUGAGUGAGAGGAAGCCACUUUCAUAAUAUCAAACCACUCUAAUAAUGGCAAUACUACCAAUCUUGAUGGUUCAGAUUCUCAACACUGUUGUGUUAAGGACACAGUCAAACCACAAAAAGGUAUUCAUAUGCUUCUCAGCAUUGACAUAUUCUGCAGGGCAGGUAUCCAAACUCUGUACCACCUAGAGAAUUCUUUCAAGGACAUUUUUUUUCUCUUUUUGGUUUCUCAAGACAGGCUUUCUCAGUAACUAUGGAGCCAGGCCUGGAACUCACUCUGUAGACCAGGCUGGCCUCGAACUCACAGAGAUCUGCCUGCCUCUGCCUCCCGAGUGCUGGGAUAAAGGCGUGCACCACUACUGCCCAGCUCCAAGGACAACUAUUUUAUCCAUUUUAAAUUCUCUGCAUCUACACAUUUUGUGUGUGCAUAUAUGUGUGUAAACACCAUUCAUGUGCAUGUACGUACAUGUCAUGUGUGUGUUCAAGUAUAUGGAAGGCAGAGGUUGACGUCUAAUAUCUUCUUCAAUUACCCUCUACUAUUUUUAGGACAGGGUCUCUCACUGAACUAAAGGUCACCAGUUCAGCUAGAUUGGCUGCCAGCAAGCCUCAGAGAUCUUCCCGUCUCUGCCUCCCAGUGCUGAGAUUACAGGUGUGUACCACUGCACUUGACUUUGCUGUGGGUGAAUGAACAUAGGCCCACAUGAGAUGUGCUAGUUAUGUGAGAAUCAUUUUUUUUUCUUUGGUUUUUCGAGACAGGGUUUCUCUGUGGCUUUGGAGCCUGUCCUGGAACUAGCUCUGUAGACCAGGCUGGUCUCGAACUCACAGAGAUCCACCUGCCUCUGCCUCCCGAGCAUCAUUUUUAUCCAAUGAUCCUGUAAGAAAUGCUGGUGGGAACAUGAGCUAAAUAAUUCUGGGCAAACCCAAAGUGUUUCCCAACUGAGCAACUGCCCUAUCCCCUCUAGUACAUCCUUAUGCUGGGAUUCUCCUUGUCCUUUGUCCCUGCCUCUGGUUCCCAAAUGCUUGGAUUACAGGUGUGCACAUCUGGUUAUUGGACUGACUCUUAAGGAAUUUUUCUCAUGCUGUGGAUAUUAAUUUUACUUCAUUUGACCUAGCAGUGGCCACGCAGAUCAGUAUCUAGAAAUGAGCAUUGCAGUCUGUUCUGAUAGAGGACUUGGCUAUUUAGUGGCUAUUCCUUCUGCCUGGUUUUCCUAAUCUACUUUCUAUCUCUAAGGAUUUGCCUGUACUGGAUGUUCUAGAUAAAUGGAAUCAUAUAACUAGAAUCUUUUGUGUCUUCUCUCACUUACCAUAAUGUUUUCAAGUUUCAUGCAUGCCAAAACAUAUGUUAUUAUUUAACUACUUUUUAAUUACAAAGACUAUGUCAUUAUAUAAACAUAGCACCAUAUACCAUGCAUAAAAUGAAUAUACUGUUCUGCUUUCUGGCUAAAUACUAUAAACAUUCAUAUAAUUUGUAUUAUUAUUUUCUUGCUUUCAUUUUAGUUUUGAGACAGGGCUGGCUGGCGCUUGUGGCAGUCACCCUCUCUCAGCUUUACAAGUGCUGGGAUUAUAGGUGUGAGCUACAAUGUCCCAGCUCUGUUUUUUGGAUUUUGUGUUUGUUUUUGAGACAGGUUUUCACUCUGUAUUUUGGCUGGCUUUAAACUUGCUAAGUAACCCAGGUGGGCCUUGAACUUAUGAUCCUCCUGCUUCUGCCUCCUGAAUACUUGGAUUAAAGACAUACACCACCAUACUUGACCCAUGUAGAAAUUUUCAUAUGGACAUUUGUUAUAGUUUGUAGUGGGAUUUCUGAGCAAUGGGGCAACUCUGUGUUUAACUGCAGAGGAACUACCAGGCCUCUCCAAAGUAGCUGUAGCAUUUUGCAUUCCCACUGGCAGUGUAUGAUAGUUUUGUUUUCUCCACAGUCAUGGACAACACUUGUCUCACUUCUGAGACAGGUGUGUUCCUGGGUUUCACUGGCCAGUUAGUCUACCUUGGCAUGUCUCAAGCUAAAGGGAAAUCUUGUCGUUCUGUGUCCUUCAAAAGGUGGAUGGCGCCAGAAGUUGUUCUCUGGUUUCUACAUGUACAGACACACAUGCACCAUCACAAACACUAACAUGUAUACAAUACACUCAAAAAGCAAAUAACAGGGCAGGGAAUAUAGCAAUGACAGAGCACUUGCCUUAACACUGCAAGAGGUUCUGGGUUCCAUCCCCAGUACUGAGAAAAUAAUACAACAAAGUAGAAGGGAAUCUACUGAUACUAUUUCAAUCUUGAACAUAAUAGAGAAAUACAGAUUAAAAACAAAACAGAAGUUGAGGUCCAAAAAGGGAAGAAAACAGGAUUGAUGAGAGAGAGAGAGAACAUAAUUAUUACUAUAAAGGAUGAUAUAAAAAUAAGAUCAAACCUAGAAGGUACUACAAAAUUAUGAAUAUGUCAAUUCUCCUAUUAAAAGAAAACUCUUAGCCUCAAAGGGCAAAAGCUAUUUUAAGAAAUGUACUUAAAUUUAAAAAAUAUUAUUAUUAUUUUUAUUUUAUAUGUAUGAGUGUUUAUCUGCCUGUAUGUCUGUGCACCAUGUCCAUGCCUAAUACCCCUGGUGGCCAGAAGAGGGCAUCAGAUUCUCUGGAACUAGAGUUCUGGACAGUUGGGUGCUGAGAACAGAAUCCAGGUCCUCUGGAAUUGCAGCCUGUGCUAGCACAGCCAUGUCUCCAACUCUGGAAAAUACACUUUAUACAAAAGCAUAUACUAUAGCAGACAAACCCAAGUUUUUCCCUUAAGCAAUAACAACUCAU